GCUGCUGACCAGCGGAUCACACUUCAGGAGCAGAAGCCCGGAAGUCUUAAACUGUGGCGGCAACAGGAACCAGCGGUCCACCUUCCGAAACCCUGGUGUGUGGGGAAAGCUGCGCUCGUGUGGGCAGCUUUGGCACAGAGUCCUGGCACUGUGGAUGAAGAGAGGCGUCAGCACUUUUCAAACAACAAACUAGCAGCAGAAGUACGCGGGCCUCUCACUGUUGUGGCCUCUCCCGUUGCAGAGCACAG
Delphinapterus leucas (beluga whale) is the source of this 248-nucleotide non-coding RNA. Lineage: Eukaryota; Metazoa; Chordata; Mammalia; Artiodactyla; Monodontidae. The record is from RefSeq and is a predicted model, not a curated record.